RNAcentral lists this ribosomal RNA (116 nucleotides) under Apis mellifera (honey bee). Lineage: Eukaryota; Metazoa; Arthropoda; Insecta; Hymenoptera; Apidae. The record is from RNAcentral.
AUCUCAAGUCAUAUCACGUAAAAACUACUGGUUCACGUUCAAUCACCAAAAUCAAGCUAUGUCGGGUACAGCUAGUAUUUCGAUGUAUAACUUGGAAAUAUUGUGUAUUUUUUAUU